CUGAAUAGAAGCAUUUUUGCAGAUUUGCAGGAUUGGGCCCACAGAUUCCAUCCAUAGAAAUAUAAUUUGUUCCAGAGGCAUGAUUAUAAUAUGACAAUAAUUUUGAACCUAGCUUCCCAAAGAAGCGAGACUUAUGCAAGCGUGCUGUCAGGCAUCCCCUUCAUGAACCUGUGAGCCCACUGAGCAGAUUCAGACUUCAGAGCGACACUCCAUUCUCAAAGACACUGUGCCCUCUAGUGGAACUGGCUAGACACACAUUGCAUUUUAUCUUCUUCUCAAAAUCAGCAAACUUGAUCUGAAUUACAUUCAUCAGUUGGAGUUAUGAUCUUCAUCUUCUGUUAGGUAACUGUUUUAUUAACUUUAAAGAAUUUACUAGUGCAGAGUUGUGCAAGAGUUUCAAGAUACUGAGAGAAACCAAAUUGAAAAGUUUUAAAUAAAGUCCUUAUUUCUGAAGUUCCCUUCCUUUUA
Molecule: long non-coding RNA, 468 nt
Filed under: Struthio camelus australis
Lineage: Eukaryota; Metazoa; Chordata; Aves; Struthioniformes; Struthionidae
Description: lncRNA (ENSSCUG00000013825.1)
Source: RNAcentral